This 185-nucleotide ribosomal RNA is filed under the name uncultured bacterium. RNAcentral describes it as "partial 16S ribosomal RNA". It matches the Rfam family "Bacterial small subunit ribosomal RNA", at positions 1314 to 1500 of the family's 1533-position model. The record is from RNAcentral.
GCCUGCGUGAAGUGGAAUCGCUAGUAAUCGCGGAUCAGCACGCCGCGGUGAAUACGUUCCCGGGCCUUGUACACACCGCCCGUCACACCAUGAGAGUCGGGAACACCCGAAGUCCGUAGCCUAACCGCAAGGGGGCGCGGCCGAAGGUGGGUUCGAUAAUUGGGGUGAAGUCGUAACAAGGUAUC